GACGAACGCUGGCGGCGUGCUUAAUACAUGCAAGUCGAACGGAAAGGCCCUGCUUUUGUGGGGUGCUCGAGUGGCGAACGGGUGAGUAACACGUGAGUAACCUGCCCUUGACUUUGGGAUAACUUCAGGAAACUGGGGCUAAUACCGGAUAGGAGCUCCUGCUGCAUGGUGGGGGUUGGAAAGUUUCGGCGGUUGGGGAUGGACUCGCGGCUUAUCAGCUUGUUGGUGGGGUAGUGGCUUACCAAGGCAUUGACGGGUAGCCGGCCUGAGAGGGUGACCGGCCACAUUGGGACUGAGAUACGGCCCAGACUCCUACGGGAGGCAGCAGUGGGGAAUAUUGCACAAUGGGCGGAAGCCUGAUGCAGCAACGCCGCGUGCGGGAUGACGGCCUUCGGGUUGUAAACCGCUUUCGCCUGUGACGAAGCGUGAGUGACGGUAAUGGGUAAAGAAGCACCGGCUAACUACGUG
RNAcentral lists this ribosomal RNA (468 nucleotides) under uncultured bacterium. RNAcentral's name for it is "partial 16S ribosomal RNA". It matches the Rfam family "Bacterial small subunit ribosomal RNA", at positions 28 to 507 of the family's 1533-position model. The record is from RNAcentral.